RNAcentral lists this ribosomal RNA (784 nucleotides) under Pedobacter sp. RNAcentral describes it as "bacterial SSU rRNA". It matches the Rfam family "Bacterial small subunit ribosomal RNA", at positions 43 to 824 of the family's 1533-position model. The record is from RNAcentral. Lineage: Bacteria; Pseudomonadati; Bacteroidota; Sphingobacteriia; Sphingobacteriales; Sphingobacteriaceae.
CAGGCCUAAUACAUGCAAGUCGAACGAUACCGAGUAGCUUGCUAUUCGGGAAAGUGGCGCACGGGUGCGUAACGCGUAUGCAACCUACCUCAAUCAGGGGGAUAGCCCGAAGAAAUUCGGAUUAACACCGCAUAAAAUCACAGGAUAGCAUUAUCUAAUGAUCAAAUAUUUAUAGGAUUGAGAUGGGCAUGCGUGUCAUUAGUUAGUUGGCGAGGUAACGGCUCACCAAGACCACGAUGACUAGGGGAUCUGAGAGGAUGACCCCCCACACUGGUACUGAGACACGGACCAGACUCCUACGGGAGGCAGCAGUAAGGAAUAUUGGUCAAUGGAGGCAACUCUGAACCAGCCAUGCCGCGUGCAGGAAGACAGCCCUCUGGGUCGUAAACUGCUUUUAUUCGGGAAUAAACCUACUUACGUGUAAGUAGCUGAAUGUACCGAAGGAAUAAGGAUCGGCUAACUCCGUGCCAGCAGCCGCGGUAAUACGGAGGAUCCAAGCGUUAUCCGGAUUUAUUGGGUUUAAAGGGUGCGUAGGCGGCUUAUUAAGUCAGGGGUGAAAGACGGUGGCUCAACCAUCGCAGUGCCCUUGAUACUGAUGAGCUUGAAUACACUAGAGGUAGGCGGAAUGUGACAAGUAGCGGUGAAAUGCAUAGAUAUGUCACAGAACACCGAUUGCGAAGGCAGCUUACUAUGGUGUUAUUGACGCUGAGGCACGAAAGCGUGGGGAUCAAACAGGAUUAGAUACCCUGGUAGUCCACGCCCUAAACGAUGAAUACUCGCUGUU